CGGCAGCCGCAGAGGCGGGCUCUCCGCCCGGGGCCCCCUCCCCGCGCCUGCGGGCCGCGAGCCCGGGUGCUGCAGUCUGCGGCGCAUGGCGGCUGGGGCCUGGGCGGGGGGCGGGCGCAGGUCCGGAAACAGACCAGCAGGGGAAUGGGAAAGGCGGCCUGCCUUUAUCUGGACCAGCCUUGAGACGUAAGAAAUGCAUACAGUUUUAAAGAUGAAGCGCCAUGAAAUGCAGAAACUUCUGGUCUGGAUAGCUCAGCUGAUUAUUUUCAUGUUGCCACAAUUUGUCACAUGGCUUGAUAAGUGGUCCGUAGGUCCAUGCCCGGGAUCCAAACCGGCAAACACAGGGCUACUGAAGCAGAGCACACGAACGUAACCACUAAGCCACCACACCCACAAACAGAAGGUGGACAUGAUGACUGGAGUUUUAGCAACCAUCUUAUGACAAUAAAGCGAUCCUAAACCAUAGCUAAGGAUGGAGGAAGAUAGAGACUAGGUCCCUGAUGAGACUGUGGAGCUGCCACACAAGCCCUGGGUUGCCUAUCUCUGAACUUCUCGUUAUAGGAGAAAAUAAAACAACUUGUUUAAGCCACACU
Molecule: non-coding RNA, 593 nt
Organism: Equus caballus (horse)
Lineage: Eukaryota; Metazoa; Chordata; Mammalia; Perissodactyla; Equidae
Source: RefSeq, a predicted model, not a curated record